GUGGCAUUCACAGGGCAUUCACAGUGGCAUUCACAUGGCAUUCACAGUGGCAUUCACAGUGGCAUUCACAGUGGCAUUCACAGGGCAUUCACAGUGGCAUUCACAUGGCAUUCACAGGGCAUUCACAGUGGCAUUCACAGUGGCAUUCACAGUGGCAUUCACAGGGCAUUCACAGUGGCAUUCACAGGGCAUUCACAGUGGCAUUCACAGUGGCAUUCACAGUGGCAUUCACAGGGGCAUUCACAGUGGCAAUCACAGUGGCAUUCACAGUGGCAUUCACAGUGGCAUUCACAGUGGCAUUCACAGGGGCAUUCACAGUGGCAAUCA
Long non-coding RNA from Oncorhynchus tshawytscha (Chinook salmon), 327 nucleotides. The record is from Ensembl. Lineage: Eukaryota; Metazoa; Chordata; Actinopteri; Salmoniformes; Salmonidae.